This 104-nucleotide ribosomal RNA is filed under the name uncultured bacterium. RNAcentral describes it as "partial 16S ribosomal RNA". It matches the Rfam family "Bacterial small subunit ribosomal RNA", at positions 1379 to 1482 of the family's 1533-position model. The record is from RNAcentral.
CCUUGUACACACCGCCCGUCACACCACGAGAGUUUGCAACACCCGAAGUCGGUGAGGUAACCGCAAGGAGCCAGCCGCCUAAGGUGGGGUAGAUGAUUGGGGUG